GACGAACGCUGGCGGCGUGCUUAACACAUGCAAGUCGAACGGAAAGGCCUUGCUUUUGUGGGGUGCUCGAGUGGCGAACGGGUGAUUAACACGUGAGUAACCCGCCUGUGACUUUGGUAUAACCUCAGGAAACUGGGUCUAAUAACGGAUAGGAGCCCCUGCUGCAUGGUGGGUGUUGGAAAGUUUCGGCGGUUGGGGAUGGACUCGCGGCUUAUCCUCUUGUUGGUGGGGUAGUGUCUUACCAAGGCUUUGACGGGUAGCCGGCCUGAGAGGGGGACCGGCCACAUUGGGACUGAGAUACGGCCCAGACUCGUACGGGAGGCAACGGUGGGAAGUAUGACACAGUGGGGGGAAGCCUGAGGCGGAAACGCCGGGUGCGGAAUGACGGCCUUCGGGUUGAAAACGGCUUGGGCCUGUGACGAAGCGUGAGUGACGGUAAUGGGUAAAGAAGCACCGGCUAACUACGUG
Molecule: ribosomal RNA, 468 nt
Filed under: uncultured bacterium
Lineage: Bacteria
Description: partial 16S ribosomal RNA
Rfam family: Bacterial small subunit ribosomal RNA
Source: RNAcentral